Molecule: long non-coding RNA, 623 nt
Filed under: Medicago truncatula (barrel medic)
Lineage: Eukaryota; Viridiplantae; Streptophyta; Magnoliopsida; Fabales; Fabaceae
Description: lncRNA gene33581
Source: RNAcentral
GCUAACUGAAAAAUACAGGUACCAUUGCUUCCAACAAGAUCUGAAAGAAGAUAAAUUUAAAAUAAUUUCCUAUCAAAAUUUCAAGGGAAAUGCAUAAAAUUAUUUAACUGAAGAAGCUAAAUGAGCAAUUUUUGCAAACCCAUCUCUUCUAAAUGUUGCAUUUUGAAAACAAAUGACGAUUUUAGAAAUGACAGAUUCAUUGCUUCUAUUCUGAGAGAAAGAGUGACGGAAUGAAAAGGAGAGAGCAAGGGUUUCAAAGCCUUCUAACCCCUAUGGAUAGAUUGAAGUGACGUCGUUUUGAUGAAGGAAACAAUUUACAGCACUGUUGUGUUAUUUUUUUUUGGGGCUUUUGGGCUGUGGGUAAGAUAUAAAAGCCCAUCAACGUUUUACAAUUAAAAAUGCUAUUCUCCUUUCCAUUUUGCUCAUUCCACCUCAAACUUCAAAAAAUAACCCAAUGUAACUCAUGCUCCGUACCCAGCGUCCUAACGUGAGUUAACUUGGUUUCAGUUCUGAUAACAUAAAAAGAAUUCUUGACAAAAUUGCUGUUUUUUUUAAGUACCUAAACACCUAAACGUGCAUUCUUCACAAUAUUAAUCAUCGACUAUUGCUACAUUCAUUCACAA